GGCGGGCCGGAGGGCGCGCAAGGGAGGACGGGAGCUGCGCGGGCCGGGCGCGGCGCCGCAGACGGAGGAGCGGGAACCAACAUUUGUUGCGCCCAAGAUUGCAAAUCUGAGAAACCACCAAGGAGCCAACACCGAUGCAAACACACGAGGGUUUAUUAGCAAGCUCAAGCUUGGGUCCAAGUAUACCCAACACAGCGGAGCAGGGACUUGGACCCCAAGAUGUGUUACAGCUGGGUUUUUAUGGACUGCUCUAGGGGUAAGGUGGGGUUUUUCAGUAAGGGGGGGUAUGUGUGAGAAUCUCCAGUAAAGAGGUCUCACAAGCUCUUGCUUCCUUAUUCCGAAUAAGGCCGUGCUUUGUGUUUUUUACUGUAGCUGGGGUAAGGUGGAUUCAGGACCUGGUCACAGUGGCCUGGUCACAGUGGCCGGAGAUGGCUACCGAAGCUACAAUGGCUGUACUUGGGCCAAUGUUAAACUUGAAUGGCCCUAAUUCUCUCAGCCUGCACACAUUGUCUAGGUAGUUAAAACGGUGACCUUGAAUGAAUGCAUUCAGGAGAAGAGUGUAGAUGGAGUGAAACAGUCCCACCGCAGCAUUUCAAAGUGGCAGAGAGAAGGAAAAUCCAGCAAAGGAGGAAGGCCGGGAGGAACUGACCAUUGAAUAAAAGGAAAACCAAGAGUUUGGGUGUCCAUGAAGCCGGUCAAAAGCUCUUCUGACGGACACCUCGGUGGCUCAGCAGGGAAGCCCAUCUGUCUUCGGCUCAGGGCAUGACCCGAGGGUCCUGGGAUCAAGUCCUGAAUCGGGCUCCCUGCAUGGAGCCUGCUUCUCCCUCUGCCUGUGUGUCUGCCUCUCUCUGUGUCUCUCAUGAAUAAAUAAAUAAAUCUUAAAAAAAAAAAAAAAAAAAAAAAGGCUCUUCUGAAAGGAGAAGCUGCUCCACUGGAUGGAGCUGAGACGUAGAGUGGGAGGACUGUCCUGCCACUCAGCAGUGUGACCCCAGGCAGAGCAAGUGCUGAACCCGUUUCCUCAUUUACAGAGAUGGGAGUACUCCGAUGUUGGGGUUAGGAGGUGUGAAAGCGCCUAGCAUAUAAAGAUCGAAGUCCCCGCCCUGUCAGUGACCCUCUGCCCGCCACUACCUCCCUCCUAGUCAGUGGUAAGCAGCAAAGGGGAUG
Long non-coding RNA from Canis lupus familiaris (dog), 1164 nucleotides. RefSeq lists it as uncharacterized. The record is from RefSeq and is a predicted model, not a curated record. Lineage: Eukaryota; Metazoa; Chordata; Mammalia; Carnivora; Canidae. The transcript has 2 exons.